UGAGGAAUUUUCCGCAAUGGGCGAAAGCCUGACGGAGCAAUGCCGCGUGAAGGAUGAAGGCCUGCGGGUUGUAAACUUCUUUUCUCAGAGACGAAGAUCUGACGGUAUCUGAGGAAUAAGCAUCGGCUAACUCUGUGCCAGCAGCCGCGGUAAUACAGAGGAUGCAAGCGUUAUCCGGAAUGAUUGGGCGUAAAGCGUCUGUAGGUGGCUCUCCAAGUCUCCUGUUAAAUCCCAGAGCUUAACUUUGGAUCAGCAUGAGAAACUCGAGAGCUUGAGUACGGUAGGGGCAGAGGGAAUUCCCGGUGUAGCGGUGAAAUGCGUAGAGAUCGGGAAGAACACCGAUGGCGAAAGCACUCUGCUGGGCCGUAACUGACACUGAGAGACGAAAGCUAAGGGAGCG
Molecule: ribosomal RNA, 400 nt
Filed under: uncultured bacterium
Lineage: Bacteria
Description: bacterial SSU rRNA
Rfam family: Bacterial small subunit ribosomal RNA
Source: RNAcentral